Molecule: microRNA precursor, 76 nt
Filed under: Xyrichtys novacula (pearly razorfish)
Lineage: Eukaryota; Metazoa; Chordata; Actinopteri; Labriformes; Labridae
Source: RNAcentral
UUGCACUGCCUGCAUCUAUAUACAUAUUUAUUUGUAUAUAUACAAAUAAAUAUGUAUAUAGAUGCAGGCAGUGCAA